GGUUGGGUCCCAUGCGACGGACGUCGUCAAAACCCCGCCAGGGCCGGAAGGCAGCAACGGUAUGAGGAUUUGUCUGGGCGCGCGGGUACUCCGGUCCAU
This 99-nucleotide signal recognition particle RNA is filed under the name Verrucomicrobiota bacterium. RNAcentral describes it as "signal recognition particle sRNA small type". It matches the Rfam family "Bacterial small signal recognition particle RNA". From Rfam's summary of the family: The signal recognition particle (SRP) is a universally conserved ribonucleoprotein involved in the co-translational targeting of proteins to membranes. The record is from RNAcentral. Lineage: Bacteria; Pseudomonadati; Verrucomicrobiota.